This 894-nucleotide ribosomal RNA is filed under the name uncultured bacterium. RNAcentral's name for it is "bacterial SSU rRNA". It matches the Rfam family "Bacterial small subunit ribosomal RNA", at positions 8 to 913 of the family's 1533-position model. The record is from RNAcentral.
AGACUUUGAUCCUGGCUCAGGACGAACGCUGGCGGCGCGCCUGACACAUGCAAGUCGAACGAAGUCAAGAGGAGCUUGCCCUUUUUGACUUAGUGGCGAACGGGUGAGUAACGCGUGAGGAACCUGCCUCAAAGAGGGGGACAACAGUUGGAAACGACUGCUAAUACCGCAUAAGCCCACAGCUCCGCAUGGAGCAGAGGGAAAAGGAGCAAUCCGCUUUGAGAUGGCCUCGCGUCCGAUUAGCUAGUUGGUGAGGUAACGGCCCACCAAGGCGACGAUCGGUAGCCGGACUGAGAGGUUGAUCGGCCACAUUGGGACUGAGACACGGCCCAGACUCCUACGGGAGGCAGCAGUGGGGAAUAUUGCACAAUGGGGGAAACCCUGAUGCAGCGACGCCGCGUGGAGGAAGAAGGCCUUCGGAUUGUAAACUCCUGUUGUUGGGGAAGAUAAUGACGGUACCCAACAAGGAAGUGACGGCUAACUACGUGCCAGCAGCCGCGGUAAAACGUAGGUCACAAGCGUUGUCCGGAAUUACUGGGUGUAAAGGGAGCGCAGGCGGGAAGACAAGUUGGAAGUGAAAUCUAUGGGCUCAACCCAUAAACUGCUUUCAAAACUGUUUUUCUUGAGUAGUGCAGAGGUAGGCGGAAUUCCCGGUGUAGCGGUGGAAUGCGUAGAUAUCGGGAGGAACACCAGUGGCGAAGGCGGCCUACUGGGCACCAACUGACGCUGAGGCUCGAAAGUGUGGGUAGCAAACAGGAUUAGAUACCCUGGUAGUCCACACUGUAAACGAUGAUUACUAGGUGUUGGGGGAUUGACCCCCUCAGUGCCGCAGUUAACACAAUAAGUAAUCCACCUGGGGAGUACGACCGCAAGGUUGCAACUCAAAGGAAUUGA